CUUAGAGUAGUUUAAAUAUGUGGAAGUGCCAGUGACAAUCUGGAAAUUAAGAAUGUGUCGUAACAAAGUAAAUGCCAUGGGAUUUAGAGUUUAGUAUUUUACUUCUGUUGUUAGCGAAGUUUUCCCAUAUAAAUUAUAUUGUAUUGCCAAGACACACUGAAUGCGGCUAAUGUCCACAUCUUAAUGAGGUCAUCAGUCUGUCUGUCGUUGUAGGCACCCCCCCAUCCCCUUCCUCCAAAAAAAUGUGUCUUCACCUGUGUGUCUCGUAGCACCCCUUUUGAAUAUCUUACCCCCUUCAGUGUAGAGGGGAGGGGAGCUGUUGAUGGGGGCUGUGGAGUGGUCACAGGGGCUGUAGAGUGGGGGCACAGGGGCUGUAGAGGGGAGGGCACCGGAGAUGUAGAGGGGUGCACAGGGGCUGCAGAGGGGAGCAGGGGCUGUAGAAGGUAGAACGGGAGCUGUGAAAGGGAGGGGAGCUUUGGAGUGAUCACAGGGGCUGUAGAGUAGGAGCAGAGGUGCUGUAGAGCAGGCAGAGGGGCUGUAGAGGGAAAGACAAUAGCUGCAGAGUGGCCUGGGGGAAGUGGGUGGCCAGGGGCUGUAGAGGGGGGCAGGGGUUGUGGUGGGUGACAAUUGCUGUAGAAUGGGACCAGGGGCUGUGGUGGGGCCCGGGGUUGUAGAGAGGGGCAGAGGCUGUGGUGGGUAACAGUAGCUGUAAAGGGUGGCCAGGGGCUGUGAUGGGGCAAUGGGCUGUAGAUGGCAGCAGGGGUGGUGGGUGGGGCAGAGGGAAUGUAGAAGGGGCAUGUGGGCUGUAGAGGGGGCAGAGGGGCGGUAGAAGUGGGCAGAGGGGCUGUAGAGGGGCUGCUUAAAAAUAAAUCUUUUUGAUUAAAAUAAAAACAAAACUAAAAUAAAGUAAAUUCCCACCUCCCUAAGGCUUACCUUGGGCCAAGGAGGGGGUAAAUUUUAUCCCAGGUCUGCUAGGGAGUCUGGGAGAAGAGGAGUGAAAGUCAUGCCCUCCUUCUGACAUCAUCAGGAGUUGGCUGAAUUUACUGCCAAUCUGCUGUGUGCUGGCUUCAGGGAGAGCAAAGUAGGCUGCAGUGAUUUGAAAAAUUUGAGUCCCCAGCCAGAAGCAGGGGAUUUGGAUUUUUGCGCCCACCUCCUCUAGUGCCCUAAGGCGCCCUCGUCGACCCUGCUUGUAGGUAGAUUACAUAACACCAUAUAAUUCAUACAUUAUUUUGUUUAUAAAUCCAAUAUUUCACUGGACUGAGACCCUGUCCACCCAUUAUUUUUUGUGCUUAUAAUCUAAACUGAAAUUGUCUCAAAGUCCUCAAAUAUAUUUGAGUAACUGCUAUAUUUGGCUGAUGGAAUUUAACAGCAUAGGAUAAACUUGAAUAUAUGUUAACAUUAUUAUGAAAGUGUUGACUAAAAUUGGUGAAUUACACAGUAAGAAAGCAUGCGUUAUAUAUUCAAGAUCAGCAUAAUUUGUUUAUAGUUAGGAG
This is a non-coding RNA of Pelobates cultripes (western spadefoot toad), 1493 nucleotides long. The record is from the annotation of a GenBank genome assembly. Lineage: Eukaryota; Metazoa; Chordata; Amphibia; Anura; Pelobatidae.